This 442-nucleotide ribosomal RNA is filed under the name uncultured bacterium. RNAcentral's name for it is "partial 16S ribosomal RNA". It matches the Rfam family "Bacterial small subunit ribosomal RNA", at positions 338 to 795 of the family's 1533-position model. The record is from RNAcentral.
CCUACGGGAGGCAGCAGUGGGGGAUAUUGCACAAUGGGGGAAACCCUGAUGCAGCGACGCCGCGUGGGCGAAGAAGUAUUUCGGUAUGUAAAGCCCUAUCAGCAGGGACGAAGAAAUGACGGUACCUGAGUAAGAAGCACCGGCUAAAUACGUGCCAGCAGCCGCGGUAAUACGUAGGGUGCAAGCGUUAUCCGGAUUUACUGGGUGUAAAGGGAGCGCAGGCGGUACGGCAAGCCUGAUGUGAAAGCCCCGGGCCCAACCGCGGGACUGCAUUGGGAACUACCGGGCUGGAGUGCGGGAGAGGUAGGUGGAAGUCCUAGUGUAGCGGUGAAAGGCGUAGAUAUUAGGAGGAACACCAGUGGCGAAGGCGACUUACUGGACGGUGACUGACGCUGAGGAUCGAAAGCGUGGGGAGCAAACAGGAUUAGAUACCCGUGUAGUC